Molecule: ribosomal RNA, 591 nt
Filed under: Bartalinia sp. B SMR-2011
Lineage: Eukaryota; Fungi; Ascomycota; Sordariomycetes; Amphisphaeriales; Sporocadaceae
Also listed under: 1 other name
Description: eukaryotic LSU rRNA
Rfam family: 5.8S ribosomal RNA (bases 225-378)
Source: RNAcentral
UUCGUAGGUGAACCUGCGGAGGGAUCAUUACAGAGUUAUCUAACUCCCAAACCCAUGUGAACUUACCUUUGUUGCCUCGGCAGUAGUUGCUGGGCGAGCCUACCCGGGAACGAGCUACCCUGUAGCGAGUUACCCUGGAACGACUUACCCUGUAACGCCUGCCGGUGGACUACUAAACUCUUGUUAUUUUUAAGUAAUCUGAGCGUCUUAUUUUAAUAAGUCAAAACUUUCAACAACGGAUCUCUUGGUUCUGGCAUCGAUGAAGAACGCAGCGAAAUGCGAUAAGUAAUGUGAAUUGCAGAAUUCAGUGAAUCAUCGAAUCUUUGAACGCACAUUGCGCCCAUUAGUAUUCUAGUGGGCAUGCCUGUUCGAGCGUCAUUUCAACCCUUAAGCCUAGCUUAGUAUUGGGAAUCGACUUUACUGUCGUUCCUCAAAUUCAACGGCGGAUUUAUAGCAAUCUCUGAACGUAGUAAUUUUUUUUCUCGUUUUUGAAAUACUAUAAACCUCAGCCGCUAAACCCCCAAUUUCUUAUGGUUGACCUCGGAUCAGGUAGGAAUACCCGCUGAACUUAAGCAUAUCAAUAAGCGGAGG